RNA transcript from Grus americana (Whooping crane), 6114 nucleotides. It is a transcript of the gene named chromosome 1 C11orf87 homolog, with no coding region annotated. The record is from RefSeq and is a predicted model, not a curated record. Lineage: Eukaryota; Metazoa; Chordata; Aves; Gruiformes; Gruidae. The transcript is spliced from 2 exons.
AGCGGGCCCGGCCGCGCUGCCUGACGUCACCGGCCGGGGCGGCUAUAGGCUGCGGGCGGCGCUCCCCGAAGCGGCGGCGGCUCCGCUCUGCGCGCUCACUCCGCGCUGCCGCAGCCCCCAGCGCCCGCGGCGCCCGGGCGCUCCCUCGCUGCCUCCGCCGGCGCAGGCUGCUCUGUCACUUUAGAGCGAGCGUGAGGCUGAGCCGGCAGCAUCCCGGGCAUUUCCAGCGAGCGCCUGCCAGCAGCCAGGCACUGAUUGAAAUUUAGGCGUCUUCAGAGAGGGGAGGAAGAUCCUCAUCUUCCGAAGCCUCCUCAAUGAGUGCCAAGCUCGCCAAGGACUUGAGGCUGUCCCUGCCGCCUUGUCUUCUGAACAGGACAUCUGGCACAUUAAACACCAGCAGCACCUGCAUCACGCAAGUGGGUCAACUCUUCCAGUCCUUCUCAUCCACUCUGGUUUUAAUUGUCCUGGUCACCCUCAUCUUCUGCCUGAUCCUUCUCUCCCUCACCACCUUCCACAUCCACAAAAGGAAGAUGAAGAAGCGGAAAAUGCAAAAGGCUCAGGAGGAGUAUGAACGGGACCACUGCACCCGCAGUAGCAAUAGCAGCAGCCAGCACCCUGGGACGGGGGUGCAAGGAGAGGCUCCCCAAGGAAGAGACAGCCGGCUGGGAAGACCCCCCCCGGACUCGGAGAUCCAGCGCCCCUCUCCCUCGGCAGCCCUGAGCUCUCAGCAAGCACAGGCUUGUUUGGACACAGCUGGUGCGGGGCUCUUGCAGACGGUGAUUUUGUCAUGAUGGUUUUGGGGAGACCUCGCAAAGGCGCUGGUUGGUGUUUGUAAAUACCUGAGUGAUUAUUCUAGUCCCCAAAGAAGAAGAAAACAUUACUAAUUCAAAUGAACGAACAAGCCCAUGAUCCAAGCGCAUGACAGAUCACAUUGCGUUUCUCAUUGACUGUGUGAGGAAAGGAUGCGUCUUUUUACUGGAGAAGGAGCUGCACACAGCUACCAAAUAUCAAGUCGUCCACCUGGAGGAGAGGGCCAGGGGUGGGGGAUCCCUCUUCUCUGGACGUCACUAUGCUGAGGAGCGGGACGAUCCCACUCUCUUGGGAUUCCCGCUGCACCCCGUGUCACCAUUGCAUGACGUGGGUUGGGGCGUGGGUGAGUGGCGUGGGGGGAGAGGCAGGUCUGGCGGGUGCCUUGGGACCCCCUGUCCCCUCAGAGCAGGGCGACAGCCCACCCUGGUCUCUCGUUUUGUGCUAGGACCUAUGCCCCUGUCCCACCCUUCUCGCUCCUUACCAGGACUGGGUAUUGUUUUGUGUAGAAGUGGCCACCCCUAGUUGGGCUUAACCACAAGUGCUCUCGGGCCCCAUGGCCCCGUGCCCCCCAGCUGCAGCACUGAGCAUCCCGCCGUCCGGGGGGAUGCAGUGAGCUGUCUGCACAGAGCGAUGCCCAAGCUUUCCUCUCCCCUCGGCUCCCCUCAUCUUCAGGUGCCCCCCCAUCCCCAUCCCCGUGCCGUGAAACCUGAAACCCAGUCCGGUUUUGUGUGGCAGGGCGAGGUGCUGUGCAGUAACUUGCCCGUCCUCUCCCAGGGGAGGGUGUCCUUGUACCUCCUGUUGGUCCUGAAACAAAUCCAGUUCUGCACCAGGCACCCCGCACUGAACGCCUGCGUUUACAGCUUCGCCUCCCAGCAAGGAAUCCUGCAGCAGUACAGAGCUGGCUUCUACUUUUUUAGGCUGAUACAUAUUUUUAAUUCUCCUAAUCUAGUAGACAGGGACAGACAACAUUUAAUUUUCUCCCUUUUCCCCUCUUGGGGAACAAACUACGCAGUUGUGCAAAAUGUCCGCUCCUAAACCCUGGCAAAUAUUUAUUUCAGAAGUGGCUGGUGUAGUUUUCCCAUAGCAAGCACCAGGAGUUUUUUGUCUGUGGAUGGCAGGUGUGAGUGGCUUCUAGUACUGUGUGUGUUGGAGGGAGCAGUGUCGGGUACAGAAAAUGCAGCUUUGCUUAGCGAUUAAAUCAAUGACCAUUACUUGAAGGUGCCUUAACAGAGUGCCAUAUCCAAACUUUGAAACAUCUUGUGUGGUAUCAUAGCAGAGGCAGCCCUCUACUGUGCAUAUUAACAUCUAAAAAUUACAGCAAAGAAAAAAUGAUCCUGAGGGAUUUCUUCUUCUUCUUUUUUUUUUUUUCUUUCUUCUCUUUCUAUCCUGGCAUUCUAAGUGAUCUGAGGAGAUAGUAAUAAUCCACAGUUUUUAAUAUUUUGUAUCCACUUAUUCCCUCCCUGCUGUACUCUGCCUCCCAGGGUGAUGGUUAGGCUAGAGAAAUCCCAGGCACGUGAGCCAGGAGUGAAUGCCGUUAACCAAUUUGAAAUGGGGAAAGAAGGGGGCAGAGGUGCUCCAUAAUCCUCUAAUAGCCCCAAAAUGCAGAUGUUUCAGGGCAGUGUUUCUCUUACCCAGUUUUAUCCCUUUCCAAUCCUGCCUGGUCUGACAAGAAAUUGCUGUUGAGUUUGGAUCUGUGCCUCCAGCGCUUUAGGCAAGUACUGUAUCAUCCAGCUCAAGGAGCUGCUCCGCCAGCUGAGGUUAGUGUGGCAAGCGUACCUGCGACCCAGUGGGGUUUUGCACAUUGCAGUUUGAUGGGAGCGAUGGCUGGCUCCCGUCACCAGCCGGUAUGAUCGGAUGCUAAUGGCUACUUUGUUGUUGCUGGGCAAGGAAAUUGGCUUUGUUUUGUUUCCCCAAUAAAGGAUGCAUGAACUUUUGUGUUUAACCUCCUUAUGCAACUGCAGCACAGUAUUGCACCACAGGGAAUAGAUUUAGGACAAUGAAGAGUGUUCAGUGAACAGUAAUGGAGUUUCCUGAUCAUUGGUCUCCACUAAAUAGAGAGAUAUUACUUUCCCCUUUAUUUUGUGCCUUUAAAAAAAAAAAAAAACAACAACAAAACCCAACAACAAACACCAGUGUAUAAUUUCAAGUUUUAUAAAAGCAAUAAGAUGUUCCAAAUCACUCCAGUGCAUUUCUGGUUGAUGAUUCCACUUCUUUAGUGUCUGAAGUCAGAUACUCUUCCUUCUGCCUUAUGCACUCAAGGCAUGCAAUAAUUCCCCAGAAGUGUACUGCUUGUCACAUCUCAUUGCAGUUAUAAAAUUGCCCUAUUUUUGAAGAAAAAAAGAAGGAUGGAGAGAUAGAUAUAUAUAUAUCUUUAUAUAUAUUAUGGAUAUACAGGUAUAUAUAUUAUUUAUAUAAUCUCAUGACACUAAAAGUAGUUGCUAAAAUGUAACUAGAAUUAAAAUAUGUUAUCAUGUAAAUCUCUAUCCUCUGUUAAUUAGCUUUGAUUUAAUAUUUUAAUAUCUCUGUAUUUAUGUAAAUCUGUGUAAAUUAUGUGGUCUAUAAGUAAAAUUUCAUACUGACUUUAAUUUUCUCAGAACUGUGAGCUUCUUGUGGUGUCAUUUAAGGUUUUUUUUGUUUCUAAAGUUAAAUUAUACAAGAUAUGAGAAGUUAAAAAUUUUUAUUAUCACACAGAAAUACUGCAAUAAGGUUUAUGCGUACUCCCAGUACACAAUCCUAUCUUGAAGUAUUGCAAGCUUAUGAGGUUUAAUUGAAUGGUCUCAGGAGAUCUAGCUGAUACAAGCAGGACACGUAGGUUUUCAUUUUCAUGAAACAAUAAGCAAUCUAGGGAAUAGAUGUGGAUUUUAAAACCAGAGUUUAUGCUUGGAGGUUCUGUCAAAUCAAUUGCUUCAAAACCCUACAGCUACAGCUAAACUUCUGCACUUAGCAUUCAGUAUUAAUAAGGCUGAUGCUUCUUUCCCCUCCCCCCUCCUCCUUAAACUAGAAAAGUGUAGGAAAUUGUUCAUAUUUCUAAAGCAUACAUUUUCAGCUAACUGUGAAACUGCCCAAAGGGUUUUAAAUAUACAUAUUUUAUGCAAGUGUAAUAUCUAUGUAUCUGUAUCCAUAUAUUUAAAUAUUUUUGUGUGACCUUUUCUACGAUAUUUGAUAGAGAUGCCGGGUAAAUGCUUGUACCAUUCUCGUAUGUAAGGAACGAUUUAUACCCUCUCAGCACGGACAUUCUUUUUCCUGUCAAUUUGCACUGGUUUUGGCAAGUUACGAUGGAGACGGGGCAGCUGAGUGCUGACUGCUGGAAGCACAGCCAGCCUUUCCUCUGUUGAGAGGCACAUCCUCCGGCUGGGUUUUCCUGGUUCUGAAUAAGAAACUUGGCCCGGUUGCCCACGAGCCUCCUGCAUGUGUAAGAAUAAGAAGUGCUGUGGCGCCCAACGGUUCCUGUCCGGUCCAGCUGUCGUCCCGUGGAAGAAGCAUGACAGCAAUGACUUGUUUUGUAGAACCUAGUGAGAACUGAGAGCCCACCGGGCGAUGCGGUGGCAGCACUGGGGCCGGAUCGGAGAGUCGGCGAUGCCUUGUCCUGCAGUUCUGUCCUCGGAGCCUGCUGCUACCCAGGGGCUUCGUCCAGCUCCCGCUGGCAUCAACAGGAGUGGCUUCCACUGACUGCCAAGGGACUUGGAUCCCGUCUGUGGUCCACAUGGAGGGUGACAGCUCUCCACAUCACCACCGCUGGCCAUGCUCUGCACCCGUCCCGGCAGCCUCCAUGGGGAUGGAAACCACUGCAUCCCACGAGGGCUGGGAUGCUCCAGCCCGGUGGCACCGGGGAGCCCGUGCUGCUGCUGUCAGCUCCACUUCUAUGGACUGAGGUGCUUAGGUUUCUACAUGGAUCCUAUGCGGAUCAUGGACGGGGAAUGUCAUUUCAUUAUAAUGUGUCAUUCCAGCCUUUUUUUCUGUGGGGGUUUGUCUGCUGCAAAUGUAGUCUCCGAUUAAAUUUGCAGGUUCUCCAUCCAGACAUGUUUUAGCUUUUGAUACAUCUCUCUCAGACGUAUAUCUGUAUAUAUAGAUAUAUAUCUUGAAAGAAAUACUGGACAAAAAGCAAAGAACAGAGACUCCACAUUGUAUACAAAACUGUCCUAUGACUAAACACGGGGGGAGUGGUGUUGCUUUUAUUUUUAAUUAAUUUUAAAGGCUACUAUCUUUAAUGUAAAUAGCAAGUUACUGUGUGCUUAAUGUUUUCCGUAGCAUUUCUGAGUAGUUGCUAUCUUGUUUCUGGAAAGCUAUGUCCAGUGUUAUGAAGCAACUGUGCUUUUCUUCUUCUACUGUUAUGAAUAUGAGUGCAACUUUUAUGUAGGGAGGAAAAAGAACAUGAUUUGACUCUUUGGACAGGACUGAAUUAUUUUAAAUCCAGUUACAGGACUUGGUUGCUUUUUUUUCCUUUGUAGUGGUUACUCUCUGUGCACGUUUGUAUUUUUUCUAUGGGUACUUGAAACCCUACAUUUUAAUAAGUAUGCAAGAUAUGAAGGGAAACACAAAAAUGAAGUAGGAAACCUUCUUUUUCCUCUUUUGUGUAAAUAGCAAAAUUUAUAAUGACUUAGAUACCAUUUCAUUACAUUUCUCAUCUACAUAGAAGUUGGCAUGACUGAUAUACAAAACUUUAAUAACACCUUCGUUUAUGUUAAAAAUUAGAACUACGUUUAUCCAGGACUGACUUUCUCAUCUCUUUCUGGUAUCUAACCCUUUUUUUUCCCCUGAAGCCAAGUUUUCCAUCUGAUCGCUAAAUAAAUUUCUAGUAGAACAGAGCUUCCUUCUGUUUCUAGUCUUUUACAUGUAGGUCUCUGGUCUGAAUCCAGCCAAAUUCAAUAGUCUAUAAAAUGUGUUAUGAACUUGCAAAAACUGGAUGGUGCACGAGCCUUGAGGAGAGAGGUCACUGUCUGACAAGCAAACAGGUGAAACGCCUGGCAGUGGUGAUGGUUAGCUUUCCCUUGGGAGGUGUGGAAGUGAAGCCUCCCCAUCCACUGCAUGGACCUGGGUGAGGGACGACCCAUUCCAGCCAUGGAGACACAAGUAUCAGUCUCCUUCCUGAUACCAUUGCUCUAAAACAUCAUUUUCUACGUGACAGUAGAUCUCAUUUCUGUAAAUUAUAUGUAAUAUAUUUCGUAUUCAAAUCAAAGAAGUUUUCAUUGCUUCAUUGGUACUAUAUGUUCUCUGUGGAUAACUAGAAGAAUUCGUUUUCCAGCCCUUUUAACCCAGUACCUCCACAAGCUUUUGUAUGAGUUAGGAAAUAAAUAAAUAUUUGGA